UUGCAAGUGGUGCGGGAUGACCCGCCACGCCGCUAGGCCGCCCCGCAAAAAACGCCCGCGCGGCGCCGCUGGGCCGACCGCGUCGAUAGUAGCGGGAUAGAGCGGUCACGCCGCUCGGCCCGCUAGCAGCCCGCAGUACCGCAUUAGCCCGCAACCAUCAGUUUGCGCACACUCCGUCUCUCCCCCGACCCUCGUUGACCACCGCCUCCACGCCGCCGGCGCCGGCGCCGGCACACGGGAGAUGCCCCGGCCUCCUCUUCCGACUCACCCCCGUCUCGGAGGACCCGCUCGCAGUUCUUGAUGGUGGGGUUGAUGGCGGCGCCGCCGCCAUCUCCAAAUCCGGACUGCCCUGCUGGAAUCGUUGACGGAGAGUUCUUCCUCCACCGUCAACUUCCGCCGGCGUUUCGUCGCUAUCAACUUCCGCAAGAUCUACAUCGUCGAUGUGCCCUAUUCUCUCCUCCAAGAACAAAGGAUCCCUGGCAUCUGUAGAAAUCACUGCCCAAGAUCAUCUCCAAGGUUUUAGACUGCAAGGUGAAGGAUCAACAACUAUGUACAUGGCAAAUAUUAUUUUUUGUAAUGAGCCAGAAGAGUUCUCUAGCGCCGGCUUCGGCGGUAGUCGGCUUCGGCUGUUACCGGCGCAAAUUUUCUCCUCUACAGCCAUAUUGGCGAUCGGUUAGAUAAGCUCUAACGGUGUGGUCGAAACAGAAGCAAGUACCAUUGUGAAUAAUUAUAGCCUGAUAAUUUGAUGCUAAGAAUGCAUGGUGUUUGAUUCUGUUAUUUCACUACCUUUUGGUUUAUAAUCAGCUCAGUACCUUGUGGUCAUGGUUCAUUUUGACAACAUGAAUUUCAUUGAUUU
This is a long non-coding RNA of Lolium perenne, 856 nucleotides long. RefSeq lists it as uncharacterized. Lineage: Eukaryota; Viridiplantae; Streptophyta; Magnoliopsida; Poales; Poaceae. The record is from RefSeq and is a predicted model, not a curated record.